Molecule: non-coding RNA, 28 nt
Filed under: Homo sapiens (human)
Lineage: Eukaryota; Metazoa; Chordata; Mammalia; Primates; Hominidae
Source: RNAcentral
AUGCCGACACAUCACAGCAUCUGCCUGC